GACGAACCGUGCGAACGUUAUUCGGAAUCACUGGGCUUAAAGCGCGUGUAGGCGGGACGGCACGUCGGUCGCUGAAAUCCCCCGGCUCAACCGGGGAACGGGCGCCGAUACGACCGCCCUGGAGGGACGUAGGGGGACCUGGAACUUCCGGUGGAGCGGUGAAAUGCGUUGAGAUCGGAAGGAACACCCGUGGCGAAGGCGGCUCUCUGGGACGGUACUGACGCUGAGACGCGAAAGCGUGGGGAGCGAACAGG
Molecule: ribosomal RNA, 254 nt
Filed under: uncultured bacterium
Lineage: Bacteria
Description: partial 16S ribosomal RNA
Rfam family: Bacterial small subunit ribosomal RNA
Source: RNAcentral